Molecule: ribosomal RNA, 1349 nt
Filed under: uncultured bacterium
Lineage: Bacteria
Description: bacterial SSU rRNA
Rfam family: Bacterial small subunit ribosomal RNA
Source: RNAcentral
GACGAACGCUGGCGGCGUGCCUAACACAUGCAAGUCGAGCGGAGACAGUGAGUAGCUUGCUAUGAGCUGUUUUAGCGGCGGACGGGUGAGUAACGCGUGAGCAACCUUUCCCAGACAGGGGAAUAACACACCGAAAGGUGUACUAAUACCGCAUAACACCACGGGAUCACAUGGUUCUGGGGUAAAAGAAUUAUCGGUUUGGGGUGGGCUCGCGUCCGAUUAGGUAGUUGGUGAGGUAACGGCCCACCCAGCCGACGAUCGGUAGCCGACCUGAGAGGGUGAUCGGCCACAUUGGGACUGAGACACGGCCCAAACUCCUACGGGAGGCAGCAGUGGGGAAUAUUGGGCAAUGGAGGAAACUCUGACCCAGCAACGCCGCGUGGAGGAAGAAGGUUUUCGGAUCGUAAACUCCUGUCCUUGGAGACGAGUAGAAGACGGUAUCCAAGGAGGAAGCCCCGGCUAACUACGUGCCAGCAGCCGCGGUAAUACGUAGGGGGCAAGCGUUGUCCGGAAUAAUUGGGCGUAAAGGGCGCGUAGGCGGCUCGGUAAGUCUGGAGUGAAAGUCCUGCUUUUAAGGUGGGAAUUGCUUUGGAUACUGUCGGGCUUGAGUGCAGGAGAGGUUAGUGGAAUUCCCAGUGUAGCGGUGAAAUGCGUAGAGAUUGGGAGGAACACCAGUGGCGAAGGCGACUAACUGGACUGUAACUGACGCUGAGGCGCGAAAGUGUGGGGAGCAAACAGGAUUAGAUACCCUGGUAGUCCACACUGUAAACGAUGAAUAAUAGGUGUAGGGGGGAUUGACCCCUUUUUGCCGCAGUCAACCCAAUAAGCAUUCCGCCUGGGGAGUACGGCCGCACGGUUGAAACUCAAAGGAAUUGACGGGGGCCCGCACAAGCAGCGGAGCAUGUGGUUUAAUUCGACGCAACGCGAAGAACCUUACCAGGUCUUGACAUCCACUUAAACUUACAGAGAUGUAAGGUGUGCUUGCACAAAGUGAGACAGGUGGUGCAUGGUUGUCGUCAGCUCGUGUCGUGAGAUGUUGGGUUAAGUCCCGCAACGAGCGCAACCCUUAUCUUCAGUUACUAACGCGUAGAGGUGAGGACUCUGAAGAGACUGCCGGGGACAACUCGGAGGAAGGUGGGGAGGACGUCAAAUCAUCAUGCCCCUUAUGACCUGGGCUACACACGUGCUACAAUGGCCACGACAGAGAGAAGCGAAAUCGUAAGGUAGAGCGGAACUCAAAAAAGUGGUCCCAGUUCGGAUUGUGGGCUGCAACCCGCCCACAUGAAGUCGGAGUUGCUAGUAAUCGCGGAUCAGCAUGCCGCGGUGAAUAAGUUCCCGGGCCUUGCACA